CUAGUGCACUGCCUAUCACCCUACUUACCGUAACUGAAUACAGCCUAGGGUAUACCCAGCAUCUGUACCCCCUCAAAGAGCUAUGAUCUAGAACAAGAGAAGAGAAAAGUCUACUUUACCUGAUUUUGCUCUGCUAUCCUACCUGAAAUGAUUGAAAAGGACAUCUUAGAUGGUCAGUGAGACCAAAUCUCCAAUCAAGAUUAACUAAAGAAAGAAAUGUCAACCGCAGGAGAGAAGAGAUCUCCUACUAUUCAUAUUAUACAUGUCACCCAGUACUGAGGACACACUGUGCAACAAGAAGUGUAUUCUAGACUAUGUCUCAUUCCUAUAGCAACUCUGCAAGGACGCUCUCAUUAUCCCCAUUGUAAAUAUGAGGAAAUGGAGGCCCAGGGAGUUCAAUCCACCUGCCUAAUACCAUACAGCCAGGAUGCAGUAAAACUGGGACUCAAACCCACAUCCACCAAAGUCUGUGCCCUGGUAAUCCUGAUGAAUGGUCAGGGUUAGACAAAAGCAACCCUCUUCAGGAAGAAGACAGAUAAUAUGUGUGCCC
Suricata suricatta (meerkat) is the source of this 550-nucleotide long non-coding RNA. RefSeq lists it as uncharacterized. The transcript has 3 exons. Lineage: Eukaryota; Metazoa; Chordata; Mammalia; Carnivora; Herpestidae. The record is from RefSeq and is a predicted model, not a curated record.